Molecule: ribosomal RNA, 434 nt
Filed under: uncultured bacterium
Lineage: Bacteria
Description: partial 16S ribosomal RNA
Rfam family: Bacterial small subunit ribosomal RNA
Source: RNAcentral
AGCGAACGCUGGCGGCAGGCCUAACACAUGCAAGUCGAACGAACCUUUCGGGGUUAGUGGCGGACGGGUGAGUAACACGUGGGAACGUGCCUUUAGGUUCGGAAUAACUCAGGGAAACUUGUGCUAAUACCGAAUGUGCCCUUCGGGGGAAAGAUUAAUCGCCUUUAGAUCGGCCCGCGUCUGAUUAGCUAGUUGGUUGAGGUAAUGGCUCGCCAAGGCGACGAUCAGUAGCUGGUCUGAGAGGAUGAUCAGCCACAUUGGGACUGAGACACGGCCCAAACUCCUACGGGAGGCAGCAGUGGGGAAUCUUGCGCAAUGGGCGAAAGCCUGACGCAGCCAUGCCGCGUGAAUGAUGAAGGUCUUAGGAUUGUAAAAUUCUUUCACCGGGGACGAUAAUGACGGUACCCGGAGAAGAAGCCCCGGCUAACUUCGUG